This 253-nucleotide ribosomal RNA is filed under the name uncultured bacterium. RNAcentral's name for it is "partial 16S ribosomal RNA". It matches the Rfam family "Bacterial small subunit ribosomal RNA", at positions 524 to 776 of the family's 1533-position model. The record is from RNAcentral.
UACGUAGGGGGCGAGCGUUGUCCGGAUUCAUUGGGCGUAAAGCGCGGGCAGGCGGCCCGCUCAGUCGGCCGUGAAAGCGCCGGGCUCAACUCGGCGCGGUCGGGCGAUACUGGCGGGCUCGAGGCUGGUAGAGGGCGGUGGAAUUCCGGGUGUAGUGGUGGAAUGCGUAGAGCUCCGGAGGAACACCAGUGGCGAAGGCGGCCGCCUGGGCCAAUACUGACGCUCAGGCACGAAAGCGUGGGGAGCAAACAGG